RNAcentral lists this ribosomal RNA (253 nucleotides) under uncultured bacterium. RNAcentral's name for it is "partial 16S ribosomal RNA". It matches the Rfam family "Bacterial small subunit ribosomal RNA", at positions 524 to 776 of the family's 1533-position model. The record is from RNAcentral.
UACGUAGGGCGCAAGCGUUAUCCGGAAUUAUUGGGCGUAAAGAGCUCGUAGGCGGUUUGUCGCGUCGAAUGUGAAAACCCGGGGCUCAACUCCGGGCCUGCAUUCGAUACGGGCAGACUAGAGUUCGGUAGGGGAGACUGGAAUUCCUGGUGUAGCGGUGAAAUGCGCAGAUAUCAGGAGGAACACCGGUGGCGAAGGCGGGUCUCUGGGCCGAUACUGACGCUGAGGAGCGAAAGCGUGGGGAGCGAACAGG